CGCGCGGGACGGGCUCUCGCGCCCCGGCGCACGUCCGGGCGCCGAGACCCUGUCCUUGGGCCUCAGCCCGGGGUCUCCAGCAGUGAGCGAGGCAGCAUGUUGAGGCGCAGCUUGGAAAACCGGGAUGCUCAGACCAGACAACUGCAAGAUGCUGUCACCAAUGUGGAGAAACAUUUCGGAGAGCCGUGCCAGAUCUUUGCUGCUUACGUGCGGAAAACCGCCCGACUGCGAGACAAAGCGGACCUCCUGGUGAACGAAAUCAACGUGUAUGCCUCUACUGAGACCCCGCACUUAAAGCAGGGCCUGAAAAACUUUGCGGACGAGUUUGCCAAACUUCAGGAUUAUCGACAAGCCGAGGUUGAAAGACUUGAAGCCAAAGUAGUUGAACCUUUGAAAGCUUAUGGAACCAUUGUAAAAAUGAAGCGAGAUGAUCUCAAAGCAACAUUAACAGCAAGGAAUCGAGAAGCUAAACAGUUAACUCAGUUAGAAAGAACACGUCAGAGAAGUCCAUCUGAUCGACAUGCUAUUGUAUCCUUUGAAUUUUGGUCUUUAAAAAAAUAUUUUGUAAGAUAUGCUGUACAAAAGUAA
Molecule: non-coding RNA, 588 nt
Organism: Odocoileus virginianus texanus
Lineage: Eukaryota; Metazoa; Chordata; Mammalia; Artiodactyla; Cervidae
Source: RefSeq, a predicted model, not a curated record